Faecalibacterium sp. CAG:74 is the source of this 172-nucleotide non-coding RNA. Lineage: Bacteria; Bacillati; Bacillota; Clostridia; Eubacteriales; Oscillospiraceae. The record is from Rfam.
UCCGUCGUGAGGCGGAAUCUGAAGGAAGCCGCAGGCAAAGUUCUGAGCCGACGAACAGAAAUCGCAUACAAGGCGGGGCAGAGCGGACGAGACUGCAACACAAGUCAAAGUCCCAUACUACCCGGACUCUGCCACGUAAAUGCGGCGGCUACAUGGAAUGAAGGCUAUUGUA